CACAGCUUCUCCAACAGCACAACUUGAAGAACAAACACAAUGAAGAUUCUCUUCCUGACUCUUGUACUUGGUGUGCUUUGAACCGCCCAAGAAACUUCAGAUGUGGAGGUUGUAUCUAAGAAUUCAGUAUGGAAACCCAUUUAUGUCACAGCCAGUGACACAGAGAACACCAGUGAGAAGUGCCCAUGCAAAACUUUCAUCUGUGAGGUUGAAAUAGACGAUGAAGCAGGCACAAUCACCUUCACGAUUUUUGAGAGGUUCAAUGGAAAAAGCACACAAACAAUUAUCAAGGAAACAAAGCAAGAAGACGGUGUUUAUCCUGCCGGAGAUGACUGUAUAAAAGAAUUGCAAACUAUUCAACUAUCUGACGAUGUCCUGAUAGUAAUUAUUGUCAAGGUGGAUGCAGCAGGCAACGAGAGCAAAGUGCUCGAAGUGCUUGCCAAAGUAUGUGAUACAACAGACGAAGUCUUACAGAAGAUCAAGGAGCUGCUGAAGGAGAAGGGGAUAUCAGAAAACAAUCUUCAGAAAGUCCUCUGCCUUGAUGUCUGUUUAAUAAAAGAAGAUGCUGCCAAAACCAACUAACAUGUCACACAGAACCUGGCACGGCAUCUUCUCCAUGGAAUCAGGAUCAACAAUAUGGAGACAACAUUCCUGGUUCCCGCAUAACAUCAUUUCUCUCUCUCCCCAAAGUCACACUUCCUUUCCCAUUUCUUCUCUCCUGC
Molecule: long non-coding RNA, 722 nt
Organism: Camelus dromedarius (Arabian camel)
Lineage: Eukaryota; Metazoa; Chordata; Mammalia; Artiodactyla; Camelidae
Exons: 7
Source: RefSeq, a predicted model, not a curated record